Molecule: ribosomal RNA, 497 nt
Filed under: uncultured bacterium
Lineage: Bacteria
Description: partial 16S ribosomal RNA
Rfam family: Bacterial small subunit ribosomal RNA
Source: RNAcentral
GAUGAACGCUGGCGGCGUGCCUAAUACAUGCAAGUCGAGCGAACAGACGAGGAGCUUGCUCCUCUGACGUUAGCGGCGGACGGGUGAGUAACACGUGGAUAACCUACCUAUAAGACUGGGAUAACUUCGGGAAACCGGAGCUAAUCCCGGAUAAUAUAUUGAACCGCAUUGUUCAAUAGUGAAAGACGGUUUUGCUGUCACUUAUAGAUGGAUCCGCGCCGCAUUAGCUAGUUGUUAAGGUAACGACUUACCAAGGCAACGAUGCGUAGCCGACCUGAGAGGGGGAUAGGCCACACUGGAACUGAGACACGGUCCAGACUACUACGGGAGGCAGCAGUAGGGAAUCUUACGCAAUGGGCGAAAGCUUGACGGAGCAACGCCGCGUGAGUGAUGAAGGUCUUCGGAUCGUAAAACUCUGUUAUUAGGGAAGAACAAAUGUGUAAGUAACUAUGCACGUAUUGACGGUACCUAAUCAGAAAGCCACGGCUAACUACGUG